UACGUAGGGGGCAAGCGUUGUCCGGAAUUAUUGGGCGUAAAGCGCGCGCAGGCGGUCGUUUAAGUCUGGUGUUUAAUCCCAGGGCUCAACCCUGGUACGCACUGGAAACUGGGCGACUGGAGUGCAGAAGAGGAGAGUGGAAUUCCACGUGUAGCGGUGAAAUGCGUAGAGAUGUGGAGGAACACCAGUGGCGAAGGCGACUCUCUGGUCUGUAACUGACGCUGAGACACGAAAGCGUGGGUAGCAAACAGG
Molecule: ribosomal RNA, 252 nt
Filed under: uncultured bacterium
Lineage: Bacteria
Description: partial 16S ribosomal RNA
Rfam family: Bacterial small subunit ribosomal RNA
Source: RNAcentral